UAACAAGGUCACCUGCAGCCGCAGACAGAACAACUUCCAUUCUGAGAACUUUUGGUUGAGUGACUACUGAACUGAAGGGGAAUGCUGAUGUUGAACUAGAAGCUUGUUUUGGUUUUCACCUUGUAGAGUUCAGGUUUCAGAUUCUCCCAUCUGUGGUUGACUGAAGGUCGUUGCAUCGUGGUUGCCUGACUUUCUUUCGCAGAAGUGCUCUAGCUGCUGUGACCUGAUGGUUGUCCGUACAGGCAGUGGGCCAGUGGCCAAGUGGAGCUAGCAGGAUGCCACUAUGAGGCAAAGUGGCAAACAGAAUAGACUGGGUGAGUUGGGAUGAGUUGCUGAACCCAAAGAACAUGGGUGGGUGACCUGUGCUUCAAAGACCUUGAUAGAUUCAGCGUCAUGAUGGUAGCACCACAAGCUUGUAGAAUCGCUUUGUCGCCCUUGAGUUCUCAUGGACAGUUACUGCUGGAAUUCUAGUGUUCUGCAAGCUGAAGCAAAGUAAGGAAUUUCAUUGCCUGAAGAAGCAUCCUGCAUGGAAUCUGGUAGAUGCGCGACCACCGAAAGAACAAGCACGCACCGUCAUCCUCAGAAGAUCUUGAGAAGGCCGCGUAGAUGGAAAAGAAAGUUUCUCAGAUGUCGGCAAAAAAAAAAAAUCUUAAUCAGGGUGCUGGCCCAAGCAACACCAUGUCAUGUUACUAUCUGCAUCAUGUUUCAGUGGACCUAGCAGGAUGCCAUGAUGACGCAAAGUGGUAAACAGAAUAGACUAGGUGAGUUGCUGAACCCAAAAAACAUGGUGGGUGGCCUGGGAUUCAAAGACCUUGAAGAUUCAACAUAAUCAUGCUACCACAACAAGCUCGUAGAAUCGCUAGCUGCCCUCGAGUUCUCACAGCAAAUACUGCUGGAAUUCCGGUUUUCAGCAAGCUGAAGCAAGGCAAGGGAUUUCAUUGCCUGAAGGCGCAUCCUGCAUGGAAUUUGGUAGACCAGUCUGGCUCUGUUUGGUGAGCAACGACAGAGAGGUACUUGAAAUCACAAACUUCCUUUUUUUUAAAAUAAAAUCCUUCUACUCGAAAUCACUCUACAUAGCUUGCUUGUUUUGAAUAUGUAUGCACCAUCUCCUGAACAAGGUUGUAACAGCGCCAUGUAGAGUGUUUUCCUGGUAAUGUAGUAGCAAUGAUCAGAAC
Molecule: non-coding RNA, 1175 nt
Organism: Triticum urartu
Lineage: Eukaryota; Viridiplantae; Streptophyta; Magnoliopsida; Poales; Poaceae
Source: RefSeq, a predicted model, not a curated record